AUUGAACGCUGGCGGCAGGCCUAACACAUGCAAGUCGAGCGGAUGAAGGGAGCUUGCUCCUGGCUUCAGCGGCGGACGGGUGAGUAAGGCCUAGGAAGCUGCCUGGUAGUGGAGGAUAACGUACGGAAACGGGAGCUAAUACCGCAUACGUCCUGAGGGAGAAAGUGGGGGAUCUUCGGACCUCACGGUAUCAGAUGAGCCUAGGUCGGAUUAGCUAGUUGGUGGGGUAAGGGCCUACCAAGGCGACGAUCCGUAACUGGUCUGAGAGGAUGAUCAGUCACACUGGAACUGAGACACGGUCCAGACUCCUACGGGAGGCAGCAGUGGGGAAUAUUGGACAAUGGGCGAAAGCCUGACCCAGCCAUGCCGCGUGUGUGAAGAAGGUCUUCGGAUUGUAAAGCACUUUAAGUUGGGAGGAAGGGCAGUAAGUUAAUACCUUGCUGUUUUGACGUUACCAACAGAAUAAGCACCGGCUAACUUCGUG
This 484-nucleotide ribosomal RNA is filed under the name uncultured bacterium. RNAcentral describes it as "partial 16S ribosomal RNA". It matches the Rfam family "Bacterial small subunit ribosomal RNA", at positions 30 to 507 of the family's 1533-position model. The record is from RNAcentral.